CGGAGGGUGCAAGCGUUAUCCGGAUUCACUGGGUUUAAAGGGUGCGUAGGUGGGCAAGUAAGUCAGUGGUGAAAUCUCCGGGCUUAACCCGGAAACUGCCAUUGAUACUAUUUGUCUUGAAUACUGUGGAGGUCAGCGGAAUAUGUCAUGUAGCGGUGAAAUGCUUAGAUAUGACAUAGAACACCAAUUGCGAAGGCAGCUGGCUACACAAAUAUUGACACUGAGGCACGAAAGCGUGGGGGAUCAAACAGGAUUAGAUACCCUGGUAGUCCACGCCCUAAACUAUGGAUACUCGACAUUUGCGAUAAACUGCAAGUGUCUGAGCGAAAGCAUUAAGUAUCCCACCUGGGAAGUACGAUCGCAAGAUUG
Molecule: ribosomal RNA, 369 nt
Filed under: uncultured organism
Description: bacterial SSU rRNA
Rfam family: Bacterial small subunit ribosomal RNA
Source: RNAcentral